This 455-nucleotide ribosomal RNA is filed under the name uncultured bacterium. RNAcentral's name for it is "bacterial SSU rRNA". It matches the Rfam family "Bacterial small subunit ribosomal RNA", at positions 346 to 793 of the family's 1533-position model. The record is from RNAcentral.
AGGCAGCAGUGGGGAAUAUUGGACAAUGGGCGCAAGCCUGAUCCAGCCAUGCCGCGUGUGUGAAGAAGGCCUUCGGGUUGUAAAGCACUUUUGUUGGGGAAGAAAAGAUUCGGGUUAAUAACCUGGGUUCAUGACGGUACCCAAAGAAUAAGCACCGGCUAACUUCGUGCCAGCAGCCGCGGUAAUACGAAGGGUGCAAGCGUUACUCGGAAUUACUGGGCGUAAAGCGUGCGUAGGCGGUUUGUUAAGUCUGUCGUGAAAGCCCCGGGCUCAACCUGGGAAUGGCGGUGGAUACUGGCAGGCUAGAGUACGGUAGAGGAUGGUGGAAUUCCCGGUGUAGCAGUGAAAUGCGUAGAGAUCGGGAGGAACAUCUAUGGCGAAGGCAGCCAUCUGGACCAGUACUGACGUUGAGGCACGAAAGCGUGGGGAGCAAACAGGAUUAGAUACCCUGGUAG